Molecule: transfer RNA, 73 nt
Filed under: bacterium
Lineage: Bacteria
Also listed under: 6 other names
Description: tRNA-Thr
Rfam family: tRNA
About the family: Transfer RNA (tRNA) molecules are approximately 80 nucleotides in length. Their secondary structure includes four short double-helical elements and three loops (D, anti-codon, and T loops).
Source: RNAcentral
GCUGGCGUAGCUCAGUUGGUAGAGCAGCUGAUUUGUAAUCAGCAGGUCGGGGGUUCAAGUCCCUUCGCCAGCU